This 400-nucleotide ribosomal RNA is filed under the name phytoplankton environmental sample. RNAcentral's name for it is "partial small subunit ribosomal RNA". It matches the Rfam family "Eukaryotic small subunit ribosomal RNA", at positions 587 to 972 of the family's 1831-position model. The record is from RNAcentral.
AGCUCCAAUAGGAUAUAUCAAAGUUGUUGCAGUUGAAAAGCUCGUAGUCGUAUUUCUGGCGGGUUGAUGUCCUUGCGCGUUAACUUGGCGAAAGUUGAGUUCGGCAUUGGACCGCCUGUCAUUUUGUGGGCCAAAGCUAAGUUCGUGUGCGCAAGUAUGCGUUCUUAGCUCCACUCCGUCACUGAGAGCAAAUUGGAGUGCUCAAAGCAGGCUUUACAGCUUUGAACAUUUUAGCUUGGAAUGACAAAGUACGACUACUCGUUCACUUUGUUGGUUAUGAAUGAGAAGUAAUGAUAAAUAGGAACAGUUGCGGGGGUACUCGUACUGGAAAGUCAGAGGUGAAAUUCUUGGAUUUUUCCAUGACGAACGACUGCGAAAGCAUUUACCAAGGAUGUUUUCA